UUUAAGACAUUAACUAACAAAUACCUCUUUUUAUUUUAGCAUUUUUGAGUGCUCCCGUGGCGUUAUCAAAGAGCCGGCAUACAAAACAAUAGGUAGGCCUGAUAAACAACAACAACAAGGAUUAACUCCGAACGUUACAAUAUCUAAAAUAGGACCAGAGGGAAUGAGAUACCAACAUUAGCCGGAUUUCUGUUGCUUUACGAAGUAUAAUCCAUAGUGGUAUUGGAUUUUCGCCAUUUUGUGUUCUAUUUCGUGAUCAAGUGAUGACGCAUGGACAGUCAUUUGAGUUACUGCAAAGACUAAAUAGUCUAGAUGUGGGAGAAAGGAUCGAUCGGGACGAUCGAUUACAGAUAAUCAGGGAAAAGAUUACAAAACUGGUGAGGAAAUCUAUAGACGAAAUUUCGCUUUGAGUAAUAAGGCGAACAAGUUCAAUGCCAAAUUAGCACCGUAAUUCAUCAAAUGCAGGGUUAUAGAGAAGAUGGGAAAUUGUUAUAAUAAAGUGGUCGAUGAUAAAAGUAAAACCCAGGAUGACCUGUCAUGGGAAAGAUUUGCGACUGACGUCCUAAUGAACCAUGCCGUUUCCAGACAUUUUUAGUUCAUCAAAUUGGAUCAAAUAGCCAAAAAAAGAGAACAUUAUUUGAAAUCUUUAAUAAAACAAUUAUUUUUUUUUGUAGCAGAAUUGUAUAUUUCCAAUGUAACAAAUAAUUAAAAUUGUCUGUGUUGUGGCGGUAUCGUCUGCAAUUCAAUAUA
Molecule: long non-coding RNA, 750 nt
Organism: Stomoxys calcitrans (stable fly)
Lineage: Eukaryota; Metazoa; Arthropoda; Insecta; Diptera; Muscidae
Exons: 2
Source: RefSeq, a predicted model, not a curated record